RNAcentral lists this ribosomal RNA (253 nucleotides) under uncultured bacterium. Its description in RNAcentral is "partial 16S ribosomal RNA". It matches the Rfam family "Bacterial small subunit ribosomal RNA", at positions 524 to 776 of the family's 1533-position model. The record is from RNAcentral.
UACGAAGGGGGCUAGCGUUGCUCGGAAUCACUGGGCGUAAAGGGUGCGUAGGCGGGGCUUUAAGUCAGGGGUGAAAUCCUGGAGCUCAACUCCGGAACUGCCUUUGAUACUGGGGAUCUCGAGUCCGGGAGAGGUGAGUGGAAUUGCGAGUGUAGAGGUGAAAUUCGUAGAUAUUCGCAAGAACACCAGUGGCGAAGGCGGCUCACUGGCCCGGUACUGACGCUGAGGUGCGAAAGCGUGGGGAGCAAACAGG